CACGUAGGGUGCAAGCGUUGUCCGGAAUCAUUGGGCGUAAAGAGCUCGUAGGCGGCUUAGUAAGUCGGGUGUGAAAACCCCAGGCUCAACCUGGGGACGCCACCCGAUACUGCUAUAGCUAGAGUCCAGUAGGGGAGUGUGGAAUUCCCAGUGUAGCGGUGAAAUGCGCAGAUAUCAGGAGGAACACCGGUGGCGCAGGCGGGUCUCUGGGCCGAUACUGACGCUGAGGAGCGAAAGCGUGGGGAGCGAACAGG
RNAcentral lists this ribosomal RNA (254 nucleotides) under uncultured bacterium. RNAcentral's name for it is "partial 16S ribosomal RNA". It matches the Rfam family "Bacterial small subunit ribosomal RNA", at positions 524 to 776 of the family's 1533-position model. The record is from RNAcentral.